GGGUGGUAAUGCCGGAUGCUCCAGUUGAUCGCAUGGUCUUCUGGGAAAGCUUUCGCGGUAUGGGAUGGGGUCGCGUCCUAUCAGCUUGACGGCGGGGUAACGGCCCACCGUGGCUUCGACGGGUAGCCGGCCUGAGAGGGCGACCGGCCACAUUGGGACUGAGAUACGGCCCAGACUCCUACGGGAGGCAGCAGUGGGGAAUAUUGCACAAUGGGCGCAAGCCUGAUGCAGCGACGCCGCGUGAGGGAUGGAGGCCUUCGGGUUGUAAACCUCUUUUAUCGGGGAGCAAGCGAGAGUGAGUUUACCCGUUGAAUAAGCACCGGCUAACUACGUGCCAGCAGCCGCGGUAAUACGUAGGGUGCAAGCGUUAUCCGGAAUUAUUGGGCGUAAAGGGCUCGUAGGCGGUUCGUCGCGUCCGGUGUGAAAGUCCAUCGCUUAACGGUGGAUCCGCGCCGGGUACGGGCGGGCUUGAGUGCGGUAGGGGAGACUGGAAUUCCCGGUGUAACGGUGGAAUGUGU
This 518-nucleotide ribosomal RNA is filed under the name Bifidobacterium longum subsp. suillum. RNAcentral's name for it is "bacterial SSU rRNA". It matches the Rfam family "Bacterial small subunit ribosomal RNA", at positions 158 to 691 of the family's 1533-position model. Lineage: Bacteria; Bacillati; Actinomycetota; Actinomycetes; Bifidobacteriales; Bifidobacteriaceae. The record is from RNAcentral.